UUUUUUUUUGACAGUGCUGAUUGAUUGGAUUUAUUAAAUGGAAAUGUACAGUGUUGCUUUCAAAUGGUGAUAAUUUCUUAAUGGAAUUUCACGUGCAGGCACUCAGACAUGAACUAAUGGAUAAGGAGGAGACAAUCAUAACUGCUUUGGAUUCAGCCCAUAGAAGGGCCAGAGGAGUCGCGCUGACACCUUCAUGUUUAAACAGAGGACACUUUUCUGCGUGCCACUAGAUGUAUAUCAGCCAUACCAAAAUGCUGCCUUUGCCUGAGACAGGGAAGAUGAAAUGACUUUGGGGAAAUGGAGAAUCAUUCAUGAAUCCAGUUACUUUCUGAUCUGACAGCUUUGUGGCAUCUGAAUGGAUAACAAUUUGAUCUGUGGAAUUGGACUUGUUACAGAAGUGCUGAACGUCAACUUGCCAAAUACAAUUGGAUGAAAAGUAUGAGGCCAAUCAGUCUCUUGAAACACUUUCUCUAUGCAAUCAACAUAACAACAUUCAUUGACAAUGAAAAAUUACGUACGUGCUUAAGAAGAUUAGAUUUGAAACAGAGAUUUGUGAAUAUGAAUGGAGCUAUAUAUGUCCCCAUCUCAGGCACCCACCUCAAGUUCACCUGGACUAUCUACAACACCUCUGUCACCUUCCUGGACCUCUCUGUCUCCAUCUCAGGUAACCACCCAGAAACCGAUAUCCAUUUCAAGCCCACCGACUCCCACAGCUACCUAGAAUACACCACCUCCCACCCACCUUCCUGCAAAAAUUCCAUCCCCUAUUCCCAAUUCCUUCACCUCCGCCUCAUCUGCUCCCAGGAUGAGGCAUUCCAUUCCCGUACACGUCAGAUGUCCUCGUUUUUCAACGACCGCAACCCCCCACCCCCCACCCAACCACACACAGUGGUCAAGAACCAUGUCUCCCACAUUUCCUGCAACUCAUCCCUCACACCCCAUCCCCGCAAUAAGCACC
Long non-coding RNA from Stegostoma tigrinum, 958 nucleotides. RefSeq lists it as uncharacterized. The record is from RefSeq and is a predicted model, not a curated record. NCBI's taxonomy places the organism in Eukaryota, Metazoa, Chordata, Chondrichthyes, Orectolobiformes, Stegostomatidae. The transcript has 3 exons.